UAGUAGAUUUAGUGGUAGUUUAGUUAGUUGGUAGAUUCUGUUUAGUUAGUUGGUAGUUUAGUUUGAUGGUAGAUUUAGUUAGUUAAUUAGUAGAUUUAGUAGGUAGUUUAGUGGUAGAUUCUGUUUUCUUAAUUAGUGGUAGCUAGAUUCUUUAUUAAUUACUUAGUGGUAGAUUCUGUUUUGUUAUUUUUGUGUUGUUUAGUGCUAUAUAGUUUUAGCGAUAGGUUUAGUGCUAGGUUAAGUACAUAAGGGAAGAAGAAUAAGAAGAAGAAGAGGAGGAGGAGGAGGAGAAGAAGAAGAAGAAGAAGAAGAAAAAUAGGGGAGAGGAGAAGAAUAAAGAAGAGGAAAAAGGAAAAGAAGGAAGAAGAAGAAGAAGAAGAAGUGGAAUGAGGGAAAGAAGAAGAAGGAAGAAGAAGAAGAAGUAGAAGAAGAGAAGAAGAAGAAGA
This 446-nucleotide long non-coding RNA is filed under the name Hordeum vulgare. Its description in RNAcentral is "long non-coding RNA (HVUL_LNC009078)". Lineage: Eukaryota; Viridiplantae; Streptophyta; Magnoliopsida; Poales; Poaceae. The record is from RNAcentral.